GCCUGCACUUGAGAAACAGUUCCUGAAGAUACAUCCCCAGCACCAGUAACAACCUUUCUCUCCCAGAGCUGAUGAGUUCUGUGCACUGAGCACCAGGGCUGACUUCAACGUCAUCAGAGCACACAGCAACAAUCAUCACGAUGAUGCAGCAUGUGACACUGCACUGGGACUUUUCACUGCAGAGAGACUGAGCAGAGGUCGCUUUGCCGUCUGCUCUGGUGACAGGGAGACUCGAGUUCAUUCCCAGCUCCAUGGAUUUCUGUGACCACUGAUGGUCAUCCCUGCAGCAGGGCCUUCACCAUUCCCUUCUCUGAGCACUACUGGACUGACCACCACCUUUGAGAGCAUCUCAGCUGCAGGGACAGGAACAGAGAGCCAGGUUUCCUUUGGCCUGUUGAAGACAAGUAGGAUCCAGAAUGAACAAGGGCUGUAUCAGAGCCUGUUGUCACCUCCUGGCACAGUGAACCCCAACAGCCUCUCCUGGGGUAAACAGAUGUUUAAAUUCUGGUGACUGUGGCCUUGUUUCAAAAGGAGUGGGCAUGACAUUUUGGCAGGGGGACAAAAGAUAUUUCUUCCUGUCAUCAACCUGGUGACCUGGAACAUAGUUGUCCCUGAUAAGGCUUGGCUCUGAGUUGGUGAUUGAGAAACAUGAAGAGAAAAGUACAUUUCCCACGUCAAAUUCUGGAAAGCCUCUACCUUUGUCACACCAACUGGGUGUAGCUCACCUCUCACUGCCACCUCCAACACAACCAUCCAAAAACGCUGAGGGGGUGCCACGUCCUGCAAGUUAUGCCCAGGUCAGAUGGCUCUAACCCUGCUGAGCUUCCAAAAGGCUUCCAAAAGGAGACAGGCUGCAUCUUUGGAGAAAAGAAGAAAAUAAAAUCUACUUCUAAAACACAAAUGGGAAUUAGGAAACUGAGUGUUUACCAUAAAACUGUGCAAAUAGGUAACACGAGCACACUUGUUUUGUUCAUUCUUGUUUUGCUUUAGAAAACCAGUACAAACCCAGAUCAUGUUUUGCAAGUUGCAGACCAGCCAUGUAUUGGAUUUCUGGCAGGAGCUUUGGGCUUGUUCAAAGAGAGAAAAUGAGGACUUAUCUAUCAUGAAACUUGUAAAAUCCCUGUAUUCCAUUUACUUGCUGAUGGGACUGUGGAGAAUUUCCUGGGACAAAAGUACUGGCAUUAAAAGGAGCAUAAAAUAAAACUCCCUCAAUUUACAGCAAGGGUGAGACCUUCAGGAGCACAUAAGCAGAAAAGUGUGCAAGUGUUGCACUGAAACUCAGUUUGUGUCCAUAAAUGACUGAAUGACUCUGAAAGUAUCACCAGUCACUUUCUUACUCCCCUUUUUCCAAUAAGGAAAAGGAAGGCAAAAAAAGAAGGGGGGUAAAAAAUACCAAUCCUAUAGAACUUUAGUCAAUUCUAAACCAGACAGACUAGAGCAAGUUCUGCUUUCAGAUAUGUUUGUUUACAAAAAUCUAUCAGUUAAAAGAAUUGCUUCAAUUUUAUUUUUUCUGAGUGCAGGUUCUGGGAUCACUGAAGUAUCUGGGAUUUAAAUGGUAUCAAAGGCAAAGAAAAAAACAUGUGUUUAUCAGGGCUGUCCUGGGAACCCUCUCAGGCACAGCAGAUAUGGCUCCUUUUCCUACACGUGAUGCUGAGAUAACUCAAAACAGUAUCAGGUGAAGUCAGCCAAGUCUGUAGUGUUUACUCAACUUAUCUAUUCAGAUCUGACCUAAAAUCAUAGUGCCACCAAAAAAAAAAAAGACAUCACAAGCAACAAGUUUAGUUCUUUGUCAGUUUGGCACCACCGAGCAUUCAAACUGCAGAUCUGAAUCUCACAUAGGUGAAAUUAAAAACAGGAGUUAAAUCCUAUUCUCUCAGUGGGUGUGAAAUACCAGCCAUCUCACGAACAUGUUAUUUUAAGUACCCUUCCUAUUCUGCAACAAAUAUCUGUCCAAUCUUAGUCCAAGUUCUGCUGGAGUGUAAGGUCUGAAUUGGUUUUAAAGUUUUCCUAUUGCCAAGGAAAAAGAUCAGACACACAUCGAAGUCCAAGUGUACAAAGCAGUUUGUCACGAAAUUGGGAAUCUAUCAGCAGCAGAAUAUGCUGCAAGGGAAAUAUCAGGUCCACUUGCUUUGAUUUAUAUCGGGGUAAGUCUGGAGAGCGCUGAGUGGGGUUCUCCAUUUGUCACUGUGACCACACAGCCUGGCAUCUUAAAAGCAGAGCUCCCUGCAAACAGAGCACUCCUUUGUGAGAACUGACACUGACAUUCAAUCUGGGUUUAUUUUCUGCAGGGCAAGGGAAGGGAGGAUAGAGCUGGUCCAGCUCCCUACACAAAGGUGGUUUGUACAAGUGCUCUGAGCAUCUGUCCUUGCCAGGGUCAGGGCAGACCCAUCCAGUGACACACAGGGGUUUGACAGCAGCAGUCACACACUCUGGACAUGCCACAGCACAGCUGACACCUGCCAGAUGGGGAGAUAAGACAGGACAUGCAGGAAACCUGGGACUGCGGUGGUGGUGGUGAUGGCAAAAACACAAAUCUGUAGGAAAUUAAACCUCACAAAUUCAGGGAACAACAGAACAGCUUCUUUUGCAGUUAAAAGAUCCGGAUGUUGUGUUCUGAAGGGUUGAGUUCUUAAUGCUUUGGAUGAUCAGCAUAGAAAAGUGCAGAGAUGGGAAGAACAAGUUUUAUCUUAUGCAUCAGCAAAACUUAAGCUGUUGAUGCAAAAGGUUGCAAAGUCUGGAAUUUCAAAACUCUGUUAGAGCUGAGCGGGUUGGUUUGGUCACCUUUGUUCUGGUAAGACUUCUGGAAUCCAUUUCAGUCCCUUCUAGAUUUCCUUUUUUUUUUUCCUCCAAAACCAAGAAGUAGCUUCUCUUACAAGUGAAAAGUGACAGUGGAAAUUAUCUUCAUUUUCCAUGAAUAUUCCAGAUCCUCAUGGAAUUUACACGUGGCCAAACACACAUGAACGUCUGCCUGCCCAGCACUGCUUACUGACUGUGGGUUUCAGAAACAAAUACAAACUUGAAAAGGUCUUUAGCUAGAAACUGCCAGUUUUUUCAGGUGCACCAACUUGCUUAAUGGCUGGGACAGCUCAAGGGGGAUCUCUGCAAUCCUUGCUGGAUGAGGAGGGCUGGGGAGUUUCUCAGGGCCCUCUUCUCUUUGCCCAGAGAACUCUCCCCAUCCUCCUCACUCCUCUGGUUUAUCCUCACUCUGAUAGAUCCUCUACAGAAAAUGAAUAUGAAUAAACACAGUCUAUGGUUUUUUGAUUUCAUUUCCUAAACCAGAAGGCACCUUUCUGUCCUAUCAAGGAAAUAAAAACAAAAAGACUGGGGGAAAGAAAUGGGGAAAAACAUUGUAAUGGAUUUUAUAAGAAGCACCAGAAUAAAUGUGAGUCUAAAACCCUC
Long non-coding RNA from Corvus hawaiiensis (hawaiian crow), 3399 nucleotides. RefSeq lists it as uncharacterized. The record is from RefSeq and is a predicted model, not a curated record. NCBI's taxonomy places the organism in Eukaryota, Metazoa, Chordata, Aves, Passeriformes, Corvidae. The transcript is spliced from 2 exons.